GGAAUUUUCCGCAAUGGGCGAAAGCCUGACGCAGCAACGCCGCGUGAGGGAUGACGGCCUUCGGGUUGUAAACCUCUUUCAGCAGGGAAGAACGAAAGUGACGGUACCUGCAGAAGAAGCACCGGCUAACUACGUGCCAGCAGCCGCGGUAAUACGUAGGGUGCAAGCGUUGUCCGGAUUUAUUGGGCGUAAAGAGCUCGUAGGCGGUUAGUCACGUCGGAUGUGAAAUCCCAAGGCUUAACCUUGGGCCUGCAUUCGAUACGGGCUGACUAGAGUGUUGUAGGGGAGACUGGAACUCCUGGUGUAGCGGUGAAAUGCGCAGAUAUCAGGAAGAACACCGGUGGCGAAGGCGGGUCUCUGGGCAACUACUGACGCUGAGGAGCGAAAGCGUGGGGAGCAAACAGGAUUAGAUACCCCUGUAGUC
RNAcentral lists this ribosomal RNA (424 nucleotides) under uncultured bacterium. RNAcentral describes it as "bacterial SSU rRNA". It matches the Rfam family "Bacterial small subunit ribosomal RNA", at positions 358 to 795 of the family's 1533-position model. The record is from RNAcentral.